Molecule: non-coding RNA, 255 nt
Organism: Paramuricea clavata
Lineage: Eukaryota; Metazoa; Cnidaria; Anthozoa; Malacalcyonacea; Plexauridae
Source: the annotation of a GenBank genome assembly
UAUGAAGGAGUAGUAUAGGAAGUAGCGGUUCUGGACCCUUUUUUCGGCCCGCGAUCCCACCCCACUUCCGGUCAGCGGUUUCCCAAAUUUUCCCUCAAAAACGCGGGCUCAUAUUUUUCUAGACCAUUUUUCUAUUAUUUUUGGUAUUAUUUUUUCUAUUAUUUUUCAGCAUUAUUAUUUCUAUUAUUUUUGGCAUUAUUAUUUACAAGAAUUCUCAUCAAAUGUUCUAGACCACUUUUUCAAGACUAAUUUUUU